UGAGUAACCUGCCCUUAACUCUGGGAUAAGCCUGGGAAACUGGGUCUAAUACCGGAUAUGACUCCUCAUCGCAUGGUGGGGGGUGGAAAGCUUUAUUGCGGUUUUGGAUGGACUCGCGGCCUAUCAGCUUGUUGGUGAGGUAAUGGCUCACCAAGGCGACGACGGGUAGCCGGCUGAGGAGGGUGACCGGCCACACGUGGGGACUGACGACACCGGCCCAGCUCCG
Molecule: ribosomal RNA, 226 nt
Filed under: uncultured bacterium
Lineage: Bacteria
Description: partial 16S ribosomal RNA
Rfam family: Bacterial small subunit ribosomal RNA
Source: RNAcentral